CGCAAGCCUGACGGAGCAACGCCGCGUGAGGGAGGAAUGUCUGUGGAUUGUAAACCUCUUUUCUCUGUGAAGAAGAUCUGACGGUAGCAGAGGAAUCAGCAUCGGCUAACUCCGUGCCAGCAGCCGCGGUAAGACGGAGGAUGCAAGCGUUAUCCGGAAUUAUUGGGCGUAAAGCGUCCGUAGGCGGUUAUUUAAGUCAGUUGUUAAAGACUGCAGCUCAACUGUGGGAGAGCAACUGAAACUGGAUGACUAGAGUAUGGUAGGGGUAGAGGGAAUUCCUAGUGUAGCGGUGAAAUGCGUAGAUAUUAGGAAGAACACCAGUGGCGAAGGCGCUCUACUGGGCCAAGACUGACGCUGAUGGACGAAAGCUAGGGGAGCGAAAGGGAUUAGAUACCCCUGUAGUCCUAGCCGUAAACGAUGGAUACUAGGUGUUGUGCGUAUCGACCCGUGCAGUACCGCAGCAAACGCGUUAAGUAUCCCGCCUGGGGAGUAUGCUCGCAAGAGUGAAACUCAAA
RNAcentral lists this ribosomal RNA (515 nucleotides) under uncultured cyanobacterium. Its description in RNAcentral is "bacterial SSU rRNA". It matches the Rfam family "Bacterial small subunit ribosomal RNA", at positions 376 to 905 of the family's 1533-position model. Lineage: Bacteria; Bacillati; Cyanobacteriota. The record is from RNAcentral.